RNAcentral lists this long non-coding RNA (504 nucleotides) under Brassica napus (rape). Its description in RNAcentral is "long non-coding RNA (BNAP_LNC019415)". Lineage: Eukaryota; Viridiplantae; Streptophyta; Magnoliopsida; Brassicales; Brassicaceae. The record is from RNAcentral.
CGAAUAUGAGGUUCAUAAAAAAAGGAACAGAUUGCACAGCGGAAUAACAAUGUAUAAACUUUGUAUUACUUAGAAACAUGAGAUUCAAUACACAACUUCUUAACAGUCUCAUAGACAAUCACUAGUUCAUCCCUAACAUCAUCUAACCACACGUUACACAGCCUCUCACUGACCGAGCCUUCACGACUCCUUGGCUUGACCAGAACCAUCCUUAGUUCCUGAAACCACAACCAGAUAAGCAUUAAUCAUAACCAAGAAUAGAACGGAUUGAUUCCACAAUGCUUGGCUUGGUUCCUAAAACUUAGAUAAACCUCAGUCAACAUAAUCAUAAAACGUAUGAACCUACCUACCGUACCCUAAGUCAUUCAACCAACCACCCCUUGACUUAGAUAAACCUCAGUCAACAUAAUCAUUCAGCAUUUCGGUUUAAUCACACAUCUGGAAAAUGUCCCAUACCAUUUUCCAAAGCGUCUUACUAUUGCAAGUGCUGACACCAUUCACAAC